Molecule: non-coding RNA, 101 nt
Filed under: Wolbachia endosymbiont of Onchocerca ochengi
Lineage: Bacteria; Pseudomonadati; Pseudomonadota; Alphaproteobacteria; Rickettsiales; Anaplasmataceae
Source: RNAcentral
AACAAUGAAAUAGGUAUGCAACCCAAAAAAGAUCCUGAUAUGGCUGCUUCAUUCCUGAUCUGACCAAGUUACAGAGUUUUUGCCUGCAUACCUUGUAAAAU